GGGUACUACGAGCAUAAGCUUAAAACCCAAAGGACUUGGCGGUGCUUUAUAUCCCUCUAGAGGAGCCUGUUCUAGAACCGAUAACCCCCGUUCAACCUCACCUUCUCUUGCCUUUCCCGCCUAUAUACCGCCGUCGUCAGCAUACCCUGUGAAGGAACCACAGUGUGCACAAUUGGCAAAGCCUAAAACGCCAGGUCGAGGUGUAGCAUAUGAGAAGGGAAGAAAUGGGCUACAUUUCCUUUUUCAGGAAAUACGGAUUGUGUUAUGAAAUUAACACAUGAAGGAGGAUUUAGCAGUAAGUAAGAAGUAGAGCGUCUCACUGAACCCGGCCCUGAAGCGCGCACACACCGCCCGUCACUCUCCCCGAGCCACAAAUACCUAUUUUUAAUGAAUAAAGCCGGCAAAGGGGAGGCAAGUCGUAACAUGGUAAGUGUACCGGAAGGUGCACUUGGAAAAAC
This 458-nucleotide ribosomal RNA is filed under the name Valencia letourneuxi. RNAcentral describes it as "partial 12S ribosomal RNA". It matches the Rfam family "Bacterial small subunit ribosomal RNA", at positions 875 to 1527 of the family's 1533-position model. The record is from RNAcentral. Lineage: Eukaryota; Metazoa; Chordata; Actinopteri; Cyprinodontiformes; Valenciidae.